GAAAUGCGAUAAGUAAUGUGAAUUGCAGAAUUCAGUGAAUCAUCGAAUCUUUGAACGCACAUUGCGCUCGCCAGUAUUCUGGCGAGCAUGCCUGUUCGAGCGUCAUUUCAACCAUCAAGCUCUGCUUGCGUUGGGGAUCCGCGGCUGCCCGCGGUCCCUCAAAAACAGUGGCGGGCUCGCUAGUCACACCGAGCGUAGUAACUCUACGUCGCUAUGGUCGUGCGGCGGGUUCUUGCCGUAAAACCCCCAAUUUCUAAGGUUGACCUCGGAUCAGGUAGGAAUACCCGCUGAACUUAAGC
This 299-nucleotide unclassified non-coding RNA is filed under the name plant metagenome. Its description in RNAcentral is "partial contains 5.8S ribosomal RNA, internal transcribed spacer 2, and large subunit ribosomal RNA". The stretch from base 1 to 105 matches the Rfam family "5.8S ribosomal RNA", at positions 50 to 154 of the family's 154-position model. The record is from RNAcentral.